UACAGAGGGGGCAAGCGUUGUUCGGAAUUACUGGGCGUAAAGGGCGCGUAGGUGGCCUUCUAAGUUGAACGUGAAAUCCCUGGGCUCAACCCAGGAACUGCGUCCAAGACUGGGAGGCUUGAAUCCGGGAGAGGGAUGCGGAAUUCCAGGUGUAGCGGUGAAAUGCGUAGAUAUCUGGAGGAACACCGGUGGCGAAGGCGGGUUGCUGGGCUGAUACUGACGCUGAGGCGCGAAAGCCAGGGGAGCGAACGGG
Molecule: ribosomal RNA, 253 nt
Filed under: uncultured bacterium
Lineage: Bacteria
Description: partial 16S ribosomal RNA
Rfam family: Bacterial small subunit ribosomal RNA
Source: RNAcentral